AGUGAACGCUGGCGGUAGGCCUAACACAUGCAAGUCGAACGGCAGCACAGUAAGAGCUUGCUCUUACGGGUGGCGAGUGGCGGACGGGUGAGGAAUACAUCGGAAUCUACUUUUUCGUGGGGGAUAACGUAGGGAAACUUACGCUAAUACCGCAUACGACCUACGGGUGAAAGCAGGGGAUCUUCGGACCUUGCGCGAUUGAAUGAGCCGAUGUCGGAUUAGCUAGUUGGCGGGGUAAAGGCCCACCAAGGCGACGAUCCGUAGCUGGUCUGAGAGGAUGAUCAGCCACACUGGAACUGAGACACGGUCCAAACUCCUACGGGAGGCAGCAGUGGGGAAUAUUGGACAAUGGGCGCAAGCCUGAUCCAGCCAUACCGCGUGGGUGAAGAAGGCCUUCGGGUUGUAAAGCCCUUUUGUUGGGAAAGAAAAGCAGCAGGUUAAUACCCCGCUGUUCUGACGGUACCCAAGGAAUAAGCACCGGCUAACUUCGUG
RNAcentral lists this ribosomal RNA (492 nucleotides) under uncultured bacterium. RNAcentral describes it as "partial 16S ribosomal RNA". It matches the Rfam family "Bacterial small subunit ribosomal RNA", at positions 29 to 507 of the family's 1533-position model. The record is from RNAcentral.